CUGGCAGGGAUUGUAACUGUG
This 21-nucleotide microRNA is filed under the name Populus x canadensis (hybrid black poplar). RNAcentral describes it as "PC-3p-390998_2". The record is from RNAcentral. Lineage: Eukaryota; Viridiplantae; Streptophyta; Magnoliopsida; Malpighiales; Salicaceae.